This 254-nucleotide ribosomal RNA is filed under the name uncultured bacterium. RNAcentral describes it as "partial 16S ribosomal RNA". It matches the Rfam family "Bacterial small subunit ribosomal RNA", at positions 524 to 776 of the family's 1533-position model. The record is from RNAcentral.
UACGGGGGGGGCAAGCGUUGUUCGGAAUUACUGGGCGUAAAGGGCUCGUAGGCGGCCAACUAAGUCAGACGUGAAAUCCCUCGGCUUAACCGGGGAACUGCGUCUGAUACUGGAUGGCUUGAGUUUGGGAGAGGGAUGCGGAAUUCCAGGUGUAGCGGUGAAAUGCGUAGAUAUCUGGAGGAACACCGGUGGCGAAGGUGGCAUCCUGGACCAACACUGACGCUGAGUGAGCGAAAGCCAGGGGAGCAAACGGG